Molecule: long non-coding RNA, 3373 nt
Filed under: Homo sapiens (human)
Lineage: Eukaryota; Metazoa; Chordata; Mammalia; Primates; Hominidae
Description: HSALNT0008638
Source: RNAcentral
CUUUCCACUUGGCCAGCGCCAUCUUGUCUGAUCCUUACUGUACACGUGGCUGGCCAAGAGAAGAGAAGAUGGAGCGGCCAUUUUGAUCAUGCCUAGUCCCAGAAUAUAUCAGCUGUGAAAAUAAGUGAAAGAAAGAUUUUCUUAUCUCCAACAUUUCUGGGAAGGGGUGUGUCUGUGGAUUUUAUGUUACUGGAAAGAGACAAUCCAGUAGUCCACUUUGUCAGGAGUGUUUCAAACAACAUCUGUGAACCCACUGGACUUCAAGCUCCUACAGGCUAGAGAUUUGGUCUAUUUCAUCUGCAUUGUGAAAGGUCCUGGAGACUGAGAAUCAGGAAUUACUAGACUAUAAUGGAUGAGAUUUAUAAAAAAUAAGAUGAAGGUAAGCAGCUGUGCACAGCUGCUCUGCUAUAUUGGGAGGAAACUAGAACAAAGACACAAAACAAGAGUUGCAAGGGUAUAUGUACAUGUUCUGCCUGUGUUUAAGAGCCUAUCUAUGUUGCAUUUUGAGUUAUCUUGCUGGAGGAUAAGUUUGCAAGUUUGAGGCAAAAAGGCUUUGUGCUCUUGUGGUAAGAUCAUCAGGGAACAGCUCUCUGGAGGUGGUGCAGUGCAUAAGAGAGAAACUGGCUAGUGGUGGAAAUAAUACACUCCUUGGAAAAAGUAAAAGGAAAAUGUAAAAUGGAGUCUACCUUCUGGAUGCAAAGAAAUUCUCAUCAUCACGUGAUAGCAAGAUAGAAAAUAUGGUGACAACAAAAUUUUGACCAUUUAUAAAUAAUAAGUGAACUUCCAAAAAAGAAGGGAAAUGUUUGGAGACCAAAAUUAAGAGAAGCCACAAUGGUUUUGAUAUCAGGAUGAUGCUGGCCUCAUAAAAUGAGUUAGGGAAGAGUACCUCCUUUUCAAUUGUUUGGAAUAGUUUCAGAAGAAAUGAAUUUGAUGAUGAUGUAUCUUGGGGAUGCCCUCUCUCACCACUCCUUUCAACAUAGUGGAAGUUCUGGCCAGCACAAUCAGGCUGGACAACAUGAAAAUGUCUGAUAAUACCAAGUAUUGCCAGAGUGUGGACCAAGAAAAACUCUUACAAAUACUAAUAAAACUGUAAACCAUGUGAAAAACAAUUUAAUAUUGACUGUAUCAUACCCUGAAACAGAAAUCCACUCCUAGGUGAUACAUUAACUAGAAAAAUUUUUAUGCACAUUCAUAAAGAGAUAUAAACAAACAUGUUCCCAACAGUAUUACUUAUAAUAGUAAAAACUGUCAUCAGAAUGUGAAUGUGGUGAGUUUAUACAAUUAACUAUUAUGCAGCAUCAAAAAUCAGUCAACCAGAGUGACACAUAUGAAUAUGAAUCAUUAUUAUUUACAUAAUGUUGAUAUUUUAAAAAUCAAAAGCAAUUUGCAAAAGAAUGCAUACUGUAUUAUAUCAUUUAUAUAAGGGUUACCUAUGCUAAGCGAUACAAAAAUAUUGUUAGUACUCAAAGUGCACAAAAUGUAUGAAUGUAUAAAUGUACAAAUAAAUACAAAAUUUAGAAAUGAGGUUAUCUUUUGUGUGUGGGGGAAUGGGGUGGACAGAGAGAGGAAUGGGAGAGGAGGCUUCAGUCAUAUCCAUAAUGCUUUCUUAAUGGGCAUAAUGGGUAUAUCAGUGGUCACUGUAUUUUUUCAUCUUAGGCAAAUUAAUGUUUACAAAAUAAUUAUUCAAAUGAAUUAAAAUCCACAAUAAAGAAGCAUUUUCUUUAGCUAGAACAGAUUGUUAAUUUGAGAGGCCAAUUUCAUAGUAAAAGCCCUCUAACAAAUUCAUUUGAAGAAAAAUCUUAAUGACCUACCUCCAUUUUCUAUUCAGAACCUCAGCCUGGUUUUUCAAAAACUAACCACAACAAAGCAUCACUGUCCACCCUUACAGUACCCCACUCAUACUGAUCCUGUCUUACUAAGGUCUACUGUCUCUGAGGUUUUCAGACCUUCAUCUUCAUGCAUCAAAAUUCAGUAAUGUUUUCUAUUUCCCUAAUUACCAGUAUCUAAUUAAGCCAAUCCUGUUAAGAUACUAACAACUCAAAAACUAAAAGUGUUAUCCUGUCUAUAUGUACUUUUAUUUUAAUGAGUAAUUGCCAAAGGGGAUAUCUUUUACGACAAGUGUAGCAUUUCAGGCAUCCAAAGGGAAAUAUUCAAAGAUAUUUGACAUCUUAUUGUUUAAUAUCGCCAUGAGUUUUAUUUUCAAAUAAGGUUAGUCUUGCUUAUCCUAAGAAGCAUUAUCAUUUCAAAGAUUUUAGCAGUGUGGGUCAAAGAAAUUGAUUAACAACUUGCAAAAUUUUAUAGCCUUAAUGUCUAAACAUUUAUAGAUGUAAUAGGAACAUCAAAUCUGUUAAAACUGCCUUGAUCUAAUUUGUAAAAUGGUGAUAGUUUUUAGUGUUGGGCCUCUGCUUGAACAACAUCCAAAGUAUAUUUAGCAUUUAUCUUUCUCCAAUUUUUAGACAGUCAUCUGCAUUUCCAGAGGGUUGAUGACAGGGCAGCUUGAAGUUUAAAGACAGCACCUGCAUUUGCAUUUCAAUAGUUCCAUAAUUCUAUGAAACCACUGAAAUCUCUUCAAUGUCUCAUUGUUUAAAUAGUAAAGGUGGCCAGAUUUUGUUCAAGAUUCAUAAUCUUACAAAAAUAUGGAGCCGUUGUAUUCAAAGCUUAUUCUAAAGAGAAUACCUUCUCUUUACACCUUAUAAUCCUGUUUGUUAAAACCCAUAACAAUUAGGUGGACAUCUGAACAUAUUUAAAGUAUUUUAUCCAUUGGAUUUUUAUGGUCCAAAAUCAAGAUUCUAGGACAAGAUAAAUGGGAAAGGAGGACAUGUAGUUUGAAAUGUGUUAUAUCAGCACCAUCAAUUUUUAAUUCGGGGUUCCAAAAUUAUCUUUUUCUCCAUUGGAAAGGAAUACGUUUGUUUCCACGUAGGAAACUACUUCCACUUAACACACAGAAGGUAACUUCAUUGGUAGGUAUGCUGCCUGUAUGCAAGGAUCUGCAGUUACUCAUAACUGGCUGUGUUUUUAAACAGAAUAAUUUUUGUCAAAUAUUUUGAUACAAAACAAUGAAGCCUGAAGUUAAAAUAAGAAAUUCUGGGCUCAAGUGCAGGGCAACUGGACACCCUUAUGAGAUGAGCCUUUGUGCCCUUCCUGUAAGUGUGGAUUAGAUUAUCCACCACCUAGAUUUAAGAAAGGAUUAAAUGAAAGAAUAUAUGUGAAAGUACUGUGUUGACUGUAUUAAAAAGAACUGGAAACCCAUAAAGGACCGCUAUAAUUGUGUAAUUGUUGCGCCAGGUUAUUUUGUCAAUACAUUUUUAAUCAGCACCUAAAAUAUUUCAUGUCACUUCAUCCAGCAGAGACAUUGAGAUGUGGCAAAAUGUUU